RNAcentral lists this ribosomal RNA (404 nucleotides) under uncultured picoeukaryote. Its description in RNAcentral is "SSU rRNA". It matches the Rfam family "Eukaryotic small subunit ribosomal RNA", at positions 137 to 549 of the family's 1831-position model. The record is from RNAcentral.
ACAUGGAUAACCGUGGUAAUUCUAGAGCUAAUACAUGCUAUUAAGCCUGACUUCUUGAAAGGCCGUAUUUAUUAUAUAACAGACCAAUAUUCCUCGUGUCUAUUGUGGUGAAUCAUAGUAACUUUUCGGAUCGCAUGGGUUUUGCCCGCGACAAACCAUUCAAGUUUCUGCCCCAUCAGCUUUCGAUGGUAGUGUAUUGGACUACCAUGGCUUUCACGGGUAACGGAGGAUUAGGGUUCGAUUCCGGAGAGGGAGCCUGAAAAACGGCUACCACAUCUAAGGAAGGCAGCAGGCGCGUAAAUUACCCAAUUCUGACUCAGAGAGGUAGUGACAAGAAAUAACGGGUCGGGGUUUUCCCCGGGACUGCAAUGAAACGAAUUUACACAUCUUAUCGAGCAACAAUU